UUAUAGCCCCGAUGGGAACGGCAUCCCCCUCGUCGCCUGGCAAGGUGACGAGGGGAUACAGUGGACAGCGGGUAGUGUU
Molecule: small RNA, 79 nt
Filed under: Flavobacteriaceae bacterium 3519-10
Lineage: Bacteria; Pseudomonadati; Bacteroidota; Flavobacteriia; Flavobacteriales; Flavobacteriaceae
Description: Flavo-1 RNA
Rfam family: Flavo-1 RNA
Source: Rfam by way of RNAcentral